This is a long non-coding RNA of Oncorhynchus keta (chum salmon), 814 nucleotides long. RefSeq lists it as uncharacterized. Lineage: Eukaryota; Metazoa; Chordata; Actinopteri; Salmoniformes; Salmonidae. The record is from RefSeq and is a predicted model, not a curated record. The transcript has 2 exons.
CUAAAAACUCUCCAGGAACAGGGUUGUAGUUGAAACCUACAGGAGGGUACCUCUCCAGGAACAGGGUUGUAGUUGAAACCUACAGGAGGGUACCUCUCCAGGAACAGGGUUGGAGUUUAAACCUACAGGAGGGUCUCUCUCCAGGAACAGGGUUGGUGAACCCUGCAUUAUUACAGACACACACAUUAUCACAUUCUUAACCCUGCAUUAUCUGGCUGACACACACAUACACACUGGCCGUAGCAGGUCAAUCUGAUCUCUCACCUCUCUUCCAGAUUUAAUAUUGUAUUGAUCAGUGAUGUCAUGCUCUAAUCCACACGGAACAGGAUUACAACAGUGGUAUUGAUUAUUCCAGCCAGUAGUCUGGGCAUAGAGACAAACUAUUUUCUCUAUAGGCCCUUUUCUAUAGUAGUACCACUAUAUAGGGAAUAGGUUACCAUUUGGGACACAAUCAGUGCAGCAGAGUCAAAUGUAAAGUUUAAGAUGCUCAUCAAUGCUACUAGUGUGAUGAACUGCGAUGAUGGGCAUGUGGUGUAUUGUGAGGGUGGUUCUCUUGUUUUCAUUUAGUUUGUUUCUCUUGACUCCUAAGACGACAUAUUCAGCUGGUCUGGAUGUUGAUACGGUGUCAUUGAAUCAAUCUAAAAAUGUGUGAUGAAUGAAACCACUUUUGAACAGUCAAUGUAAUCUAUUUUCUUACGUCACAAAUAUGCUUAUUCUUUCCAGUUGAAUAUGUGACUUGGAAUGGUAAUCAGUAACACCAUUUUCUUUUGUCUGAAAAAUACAAAUAUAAAAAUUGUCUUUGUCUCUCUCUCUC